CAGAAGCUCUGAAUUUUAGGUAGAUCCUAUUUGUCUAUCUUGACUUUUGUUGCCGUUGCUUUUGGUGUUUUAGUCAUGAAGUCCUAGCCUAUGCCUAUGUCCUGGAUGGUUUUGCCUACAUAUUCUUCUAGUGUUUUUAUGGUGUUAGGUUUUAUGUUUAAAUAUUUAAUCCAUCUGGAGUUAAUUUUAGUGUAAGAUGACAAGAAGAGGUCCAGUUUCUGCUUUCUGCACAUUGCUAGCCAGUUUUCCCAACACCAUUUAUUAAACAUGGAGUCCUCUCCCCAUUGCUUUUUUUUGUCAGGUUUGUCAAAAAUCAGAUGGUUGAAGAUGUGUGAUGUUGCUUCUGAGGCCUCUGUUCUGUUCCUUUGAUCUGUGUCUAUGUUUUGAUACCAGUACCAUGCUGUUUUGAUUACUGUAGCCUUGCAGUAUAGUUUGAAGUUAGGUAGCAUGAGGCCUCCAGCUUUGCUUUUUUUGCUUAGGAUUGUCUUGGCUAUGUGGACUCUCUUGUGAUUCCAUUUGAAGUUUAAAGUAGUUUUUCCAGUUCUGUGAAGAAGGUCAUUGGUAGCUUGACAGGGAUAGCAUUGAAUCUAUAAAUUACUUUGGGCAGUAUGGCCAUUUUCAUGAUAUUGAUUCUUUCUAACCAUGAGCAUGGAAUGUUUUUCUAUCUGUUUGUGUAACCACUCACUCAGUGAAGAGCUUCUGGUCUGUUUCCAGUUUGGGGUUUCUCUGAACAAUACUGCUAUAAGCAUUAUGUGCAGGUUUUCACAUGCACUUAGCUUUUCAUUUCUCAGGGAUAAAUGUUCAAGAGUGCAGCUGCUGAGGUGAAUGGGAGGAACAUGCUUAGUUUGUUGUUGUUGUUUGAGACGGAGUCUUGCUCUGUUGCUCAGGGUGGAGUGCAGUGGUGUGAUCUCGGCUCACUGCAAUCUCCAUCUCCUCGGUUCAAGUGAUUCUCUUGCCUCAGCCUCCUGAGUAGCUGGGAUUAUAGGCAUGCACCACCACACCUGGCUAAUUUUUUUAUAUUUUGAGUAGAGACGGGGUUUCAGCAUAUUGGCCAGGCUGGUCUCGAACUCCUGACCUUGUCAUCUGCCUGCCUUGGCCUUCCAAAGUGCUGGGAUUACAGGCGUGAGCCACCAUGCCCAGCCACAUGUUUAGUUUAUGCUCCUUUCCAGAGAGGCUGUAUCCUAUUACAUUCCCAUCAGCAACGUAUGAGUGAAGCAGCUUCUCCACAUCCUUACAAGCAUUAGGUAAUAUCACUAUUUUUUAUUUAAGUCAUUAUGAUAGGCAUGUAGUAUGUCUCAUUUGGACUUAUAUUUGCAUUUCUUUAAUGGAUAAUGAUGUUGAACAUCUUUUCUUGUGCUUAUCUGCUAUGUAUUUUCUUGCACGAAAUGUAUGUUUACGUUUUUGUCUAUUUCUUAAUUGGAUUGUUUUUAAUGUUGAGUUUUUAGAAUUCUUUCUAUAUUAUAGAUAUUUU
This 1471-nucleotide long non-coding RNA is filed under the name Callithrix jacchus (white-tufted-ear marmoset). RNAcentral's name for it is "lncRNA (ENSCJAG00000084553.1)". The record is from RNAcentral. Lineage: Eukaryota; Metazoa; Chordata; Mammalia; Primates; Cebidae.